Molecule: ribosomal RNA, 458 nt
Filed under: uncultured bacterium
Lineage: Bacteria
Description: bacterial SSU rRNA
Rfam family: Bacterial small subunit ribosomal RNA
Source: RNAcentral
GAUGAACGCUAGCGGCAGGCCUAAUACAUGCAAGUCGAGGGGCAGCGCGGUAGCAAUACUGGCGGCGACCGGCGCACGGGUGCGUAACACGUAUGCAACCUACCUUCAACUGGAGGAUAGCCCGGGGAAACUCGGAUUAAUACUCCAUAACACAGGGAUCCCGCAUGGGAAUAUUGUUAAAGCUACGGCGGUUGAAGAUGGGCAUGCGUUCGAUUAGCUAGUUGGUGUAGGUAACGGCUCACCAAGGCUACGAUCGAUAGGGGGUCUGAGAGGAUGAUCCCCCACACUGGUACUGAGAUACGGACCAGACUCCUACGGGAGGCAGCAGUAGGGAAUAUUGGUCAAUGGGGCGCAAGCCUGAACCAGCCAUGCCGCGUGCAGGGAAGAAGGCCCUACUGGGUUGUAAACUGCUUUUGAUAGGGAACAAAUGCCAUUGCGAGUGGAGCUGAGUGUACCUA